GUCUACCUACGGGGCGCAGCAGUGAGGAAUAUUGGUCAAUGGCCGAGAGGCUGAACCAGCCAAGUCGCGUGAGGGAUGACGGCCCUACGGGUUGUAAACCUCUUUUGUCGGGGAGCAAGACCCGCCUCGUGCAGGCGGAGCGAGAGUACCCGAAGAAAAAGCAUCGGCUAACUCCGUGCCAGCAGCCGCGGUAAUACGGAGGAUGCGAGCGUUAUCCGGAUUUAUUGGGUUUAAAGGGUGCGCAGGCGGACCAUCAAGUCAGCGGUAAAAUCGUGGGGCCCAACCCCCUCCGGCCCUUGCAACCG
RNAcentral lists this ribosomal RNA (305 nucleotides) under uncultured bacterium. RNAcentral describes it as "bacterial SSU rRNA". It matches the Rfam family "Bacterial small subunit ribosomal RNA", at positions 333 to 635 of the family's 1533-position model. The record is from RNAcentral.